UGAAAGUUACCUUCUGUUAACUCUUUUUUUUUUUUUUUAAUUUUUUUGGAGACUGAGUUUUUCUCUGUCACCCAGGCUGGAGUGCAAGGGUGUGAUCUUGGCUCACUGCAACCUCCAGUUCACUGCAACCUCUGCCUCCUGGGUUCAAGUUAUUCUUGUGCCUCAACCUCCUGAGUAGCUGGGAUUACAGGCAUCCACCACCACGCCUGGCUAAUAUUUGGAUUUUUAGUAGAGACAGGGUUUCACUCUGUUGCCCAGGCUGGUCUUGAACUCUUGACCUCACAUGAUCCUCCUGCCUCAGCCUCCCCAAGUGCUGGGAUUACAAAGCAUGAGCCACUGCACCCAGCCUGCUAUUUACUUUUCAGAGAUCCCAAAUACCUCCCUGCACUCGGUCCAGGUUUCAUAUGUAUAGUCACUGGGAGAUACAGAAUACAGUGUGCUUACAUAAUCUUACCUGGAAACAGAAUUCCCUCCCUAUAUUUUUGACAAUAUACAUGGUAAAGUCCUGCAUUUCUUUUGAUGUAUUGGCCAUCUUCUGCCAAGCGUAACUUUGUAAUUGGCCUCCUAGAGAAUACUCUGAUUUGACCCUCAUGAUAGGUCUGGAGGCAAUGAGAGGAUAGACGUAGGUCCUAAAGAGAAUCCUUAAAAUGUAACUAUCUCAGGUAAAGUAAUUACAGGGUAUUUACACAGGGUAGAACCAGCUUCAUGACACAGAGAAAGAGGAAGCUCAGUGGGUGUUGGAGAUUAGGGUCCUAAGGGCCAUCUGGAUUUUCCAAAAUAUCAUUAUUCCAGUUCUUUGGGUCUUCGUUUUCCUAACAACUGUCCUUUCAAAAGACACAAUAGGGCUUUGGGUUCAAACACUAAUGUCAUUUGACAAACCACCAGAUUCUGAGUCUGAUUUUAGUUAUAUCAGCCCUGCUGGAGAUGAGAUUCAUUCUUUCUCAGUAGUUGUAGAAACUCCUUGGUUUUCUAAACAUACUUUGAGCUGAAAACUUAAAACCCCAGCCUUUCAUUUUUGUCUUCUAAGCUUACUAGUGCAGUUAUACAUCAGUAGUUUACUCCCCGUCCUUGUAUUCCUCAGGCCUUUGAUAAUGUUCUACAAUAGCUGCCGCUCUGACUACCAAAGUCUUCAUUCUAUAUUCUUCAUUUCUGGUAGACAGAGGUUAUUUAAGAAACGAAUUUGUCACUAGGUGUUUUAGAGUAGCAAUAUCACUUUCUUUAUUGAAAACUGGAUCCUUGCCCUGUCAGGCUAGACAGCCUAUUAGUCCUCGGGUCUCAUUUCCACAAAGGUCUGUUGUUCCUUGUAUCGUCUGCUAUUUUUGCUCAGGGUUCAAUUGCAGACAACAGAAUCCAUUUUGCCAAAUUUAAGCAGAAACGGAGUUAAAAUGGUAUAUGUGGAAGUCAGAAUUCUAAAAUGGCUCCCCAGAUUCUUCUCCCAUCGUAUAUAUGCCUUGUCUAAUCCCUCUCUUGGAGUGUGGGCAGAACUUUGAAUAUGACUGAAUAUCCUUUGGUUAUGUUACAUGAUAUGGAAAUAGGAAUUUUGUAGUAAUUAACAUCCCUAAUCAAUUUACUUUGAUUAAUCAAAAGUGAGAUUAUUCCAGGUGGGUCUGACCUAAUCACACUAUGCCUUAAAAGAUACAAGAAGAAAUAGCAGAUUCUCUUCUGUGGUCCUUAAAGGAACAACCUGUCAUAUUGCAGAGAGGGCUAUGUGGCAAAAACCUAAAGGUGGUCUCCAGGAACUGGUUGGGGUCCCUGGGUGAUAGUUAAGAAAAUGGGGAUCUUAGUCACAAGGCCACAAGGAAACUAAUUCUGCCAACAACCUGAGAGACCCUGGAAGUGGGUCUUUCCCUAGCCAAGUCCUUGAUGAGGAUACAGGUAGGUGAUGUCUUCAUUUCAAUGAGACCUUAAUCAGAGGAAGUAGCUCAAGUGUGCUGAACUCUUGAUCCAUGGAAUGUGAGAUCAUAACUGUGUAUUGUUUUAAGCUGCUAAGUUUGUGGCAAUGUUUUAUACAGCAAUAGAAAAUGAAUACAGUAUGCUAACAAACUUACAGAAUUUCUAGAAGGUCCAGGACCCAAGUUUGAAAGCCACAAAGCCAGAAUUGACACAGUUAGGAGAUAUGUCCAACCAUACAAUGAGACUUACCGCUGAAACCCUGUUGCUGCUUCCACCUGAAGCACACCAUUCAUCAAACCAGGGAUCAAACAAACACCACAACUAAAAGCUAUCUAUUUCAAUAGGGCUCAGAGAACAUGUUGUUGCAAUGUUGUUUUCUCAUCUGUGAAAGAAAAAUAACCAUGGUAUUUACCUAAAUAAGUACUUAUCAAUAAGUAGUUACAAGGAUGAAAUAAAAUAAAGCUUUUAAAGCAUUCGAGUAGUAUACAGCUCUUGAUGUUCUGUAUGUGUUCGUUAUUAUUAUAUCUACUCAAGAUGGACUUUCCCAAGGCCAUGAAACUAGUAGGUAGCUCAGUGGAGACUUAACUUUGCAUCUUUCUACUAUCAAAACCCAUUCUUCUUCUUCUUCUUCUUCUUCUUCUUUUGAGACAGAGUUUCGCUCUUGUUGUCCAGGCUGGAGUGCAAUGGUGCGAUCUCGGCUCACUGCCACCUCCGUCUCCCGGGUUCAAGUGAGUCUUCUGCCUGAGCCUCCUAAGUAAUUGGGAUUAUAGACGCCUGCCAAAAUGCCCAGCUAAUUUUGUAUUUUUAGUAGAGAUGAGGUUUCUCCAUGUUGGUCAAGCUGGUCUCGAACUUCCGACCUCAGGUGAUCCACCCACCUCGGGCUCCUAAAGUGCUGGGAUUACAGGCAUGAGCCACUGCGCCAGGCCCCAUUCUUCUUUUUAUCCCUUCUUUUUAGCAGAAAGAGUGAUCCAGAAACUCAGUUUGAAAGAAACUUUGCCAAUUUUCCAUUCUUAGCCUCUCCCAGGAGAGAAAGAUCCACCUCAAAGAGACAGAGGAAAUCUUGCAUAAUAGAGUAUGAAUGUUUUAUGAAUUUGGUCAUCACUGAGUAAACUAAAGGGUCAAUAACAUACUCAUUAAUAAGUGUGGCAUUUUGUUUGGAAUUCUGAAAAUGAUCGGACUAUACACAACCACAUGAACUCAUGAGGACUUGUUGAAAUUCCCCAGAUCAGCUUCCCUGCUUUCGUAAGUGUCCUUGUUUCCUGACUUCUGCCUCUGGUGUCAUAAACCAUUUUCCAAAUAUACAUCUCUUUUUCUCCUCUAUCAAUUGUCUGGAGUUCUUCUCUGCCUGUCAUUGGGAGGAAAGGGUGUGAAAGUUUGGAACUUCUGCCUUUAUUGGCUAUGGAAGACGUGUGUGUCUGUGUGUGGGCAUGGGCAUGUGCAUGGUGUGUAUGGGGGUGGAGAGUGAGGCAGAUGGUUUGGUGAUGAUGUUAUAGACCCUCAGAACUGAUGCAAAGGAGAGGAAUUCUGUCCAAUAAGGGUGCACAGUAAAGGGGCUAGUGAAGCUGUAUCUAAACCAGGGGUAAAAUGACUAAUGGUAUCAAGAAGGAAUAUAGUUAGCCAUGCUCAGAAAUAUAAUCAUCAUGAAAGUAAAAUAUUUAAAGGCAAGAUGCUAAUUUAAAAUAUAUAUAUUAAAGGUGGCAGUGAUCUGGGAUAUUUUCCCAGAGACCCAUGGAUGGCCAGUGAUUGUGGAGAGGUCUUGGAAGCUAUUCAUGUAGUCAGGAUUUAAGCAGCAUCUAGGUCAGCAUAAGCCCUAGGUAUUAGUCGUAGCCCUUGAUUGUAAACAACAGAACUUGCUGUGGUUAAUUUGAACCAAAAUAGAUUCACCUGGAAGGAUUUAACUUCACUUUGUACAGCAAAUAAAUGACAGAAAUCUGGAAAGCUGGGUUUCAAGUGGUGAGAUAUAUGGACCACUGACUAGGAUGAUGCUCGAUUUGUAUAAUAAAAAUAUUUCAAGAGAAUUCUGUCUUCAGGUAAAGGCAGAGGACUUUAUACCAGAUAAACUUUCCCACUGACAAUAUUAAAUUCUUGGCAAAAUACUGAAAAUAAUUAUUUGAAGGCACAGUAGAGUGAGAAAAACCAGGGGCUACUACCCAUGAAAUAAGGCAAAUACCCUAAGCAAAACCCACAUUUGUCUGACGUUUUCUUGAAGGCAUUCCCAGUUGAAGCAAUGUAUGGGAGUAGAGCUAAAUCAGAAUACAGGAUUCCUGGCUGGUUGUGGUGGCUCACACUUGUAAUCCCAGCACUUUAGGAGGCCGAGGCAGGCCGAUCACCUGAGGUCAGGAGUUCAAGACCAGCCUGGCCAAAAUAUAGUGAAACCCCAUCUCUACUAAAAAAAUGCAAAAAUUAGCUGAGCAUGGUGGCACACGCCUGUAGUCCUAGCUACUUGGGCAGCUGAGUCAGAAGAAUCACUGGAACCCAGGAGGUAGAGGUUGCAGUGAGCCAAGAUCACGCCACUGCACUCCAGUCUGGGCAACAGAGCAAGUCUCCGUCUAAAAAAAAAAAGAAAAAAAAAAAUCUAGAAUUCCUAAUGGACUGAGUAGACAGAGUGACUAGAGUGGCUGUAAAUUGAGGGGGUGAGUAUCCAGGAAAAGAGGGAGUCAUCUGAGACAGAAUGGGGUUCACCUGGCACUCAAAAAUCCGCAUAGAUCUUUCCUCAAAUCCUUAGCUGACACCUACACUGUGAAGACAUGGGGCAAGACUCCAAGGAACCCCAGAAGAAAAUCCCAGGGAUCUUACUAAUCAGAUGUUAUAGCAACUUCCCAGGGUUGUGAACACACAAUUUAGAGUUCAAGUUUUGGCAAGUUAGGGAGGCUCAGCAAAGCUUUCUGUUUAAAUGCCAGAAGGGCCAAACCCUAGGAGUAAGGAUCAUAUGCAAGGACUAAGGACUACUCCUUAGGAUGAGGGAAAAAACAAAAAGACCUACCCCCAAAAAACUUAAAAUCAAGACUCCACAAGAUUGAGGUUAUCUGCCUAUAAUUUAACUUCUUGCUAGAACAAAAAUUAAUACUCUUCUGAGGAAGACAACAGCAUCCAGAAUCUCUACAACCUAUCAUCCACACUGUACAGGAUAUGAUAUGACAUGAGAAGACACAGGAAAAUGGGACCUAUA
RNAcentral lists this long non-coding RNA (5062 nucleotides) under Papio anubis (olive baboon). RNAcentral describes it as "lncRNA (ENSPANG00000046601.1)". Lineage: Eukaryota; Metazoa; Chordata; Mammalia; Primates; Cercopithecidae. The record is from RNAcentral.